This 285-nucleotide small RNA is filed under the name Vigna angularis var. angularis. RNAcentral describes it as "Non-protein coding transcript". The record is from RNAcentral. Lineage: Eukaryota; Viridiplantae; Streptophyta; Magnoliopsida; Fabales; Fabaceae.
UUUUCAAAAGGCUAGCUAAGGAGAAAACCAUGGGAGCAGAAGUUGGUGAUAUGCCGGCGGAGCAAGCUUUAGAUGGAGGAUCGACGGAAGCUUAGUUAAUAGAAUGAGAUUUAUAUUUUUAGUCUCUAUUUUAAGCUCGAACUGUAUUUAGUUUGAAUUAUGAGUGAGGGUUUGUAUAAUAAUGAGGAAAACUAUUAUUCCUCCUCCUAUCAACUGUUCUAUUGUAUCAAUGAUGUAAGAACUCUAUUAUAGUUUAAUGCUAUAAUAAUUGGGAUGUUACACCUG